Bufo bufo (common toad) is the source of this 832-nucleotide long non-coding RNA. RefSeq lists it as uncharacterized. The transcript is spliced from 4 exons. The record is from RefSeq and is a predicted model, not a curated record. NCBI's taxonomy places the organism in Eukaryota, Metazoa, Chordata, Amphibia, Anura, Bufonidae.
ACUUCUAGUAAUAUGUAUUUUGCGUAAGUGAGCAGUUUGUUGGGUACAGGGAGUUAUAUUAUCAAAGUUCAUACUAACCCAGUUCAAUUUAUUCAACUUUGGUUGUACUAAACAGUUAACUAGUUUGGUUCUAUUUUAGCUGCCUUCUUUUUGGUAACAAUGAUGCAGAUUAAUAAACAAUUCUGAUGUUGUUAGACUCUAAAACACAACGACCGCCUUUGAACUAUUUGAAUACAGCACUGGUUUCUGCACAACAAAAGCUUAAUAUCAAAAAGAAGGCAGAUGUUACCAACAUCAAAAAUACUUAACAUAAUUACUAAAUGCUACCAUCUCCUUUCCUACAGUGAGAACAAAUUGGUUCCUUUCUACUUGAUGCCUCCUCGUUGGACCUGGCUGGUUAAUUUUGAUGUUUCAUUUGGAUUUCUGUUCUGGUUGAGAAGCACAACUCGUGCUUAUUCACAAUCAAAUUUUGUGAGAACAAAUUGGUUCCUUUCUACUUGAUGCCUCCUCGUUGGACCUGGCUGGUUAAUUUUGAUGUUUCAUUUGGAUUUCUGUUCUGGUUAAGAAGCAUGACUCGUUCCUUUUCACAUUCAAAUUUUGUGAGAACAAAUUGGUUCCUUUCUACUUGAUGCCUCCUCGUUGGACCUGGCUGGUUAAUUUUGAUGUUUUAUUUGGAUUUCUGUUCUUGUUAAGAAGCACAACUCGUACUUAUUCACAAUCAAAUUUCAGUGAUUUACCAAGAUAUGGGUCAAGAAGCUUUAUGCCUUAUGUGGAGAAUCUUUGUUCUGGAACGCUUUUAACAUUUUUUUCUAUAUUUUAUAUGGUAACAUUA